Molecule: transfer RNA, 85 nt
Filed under: Felis catus (domestic cat)
Lineage: Eukaryota; Metazoa; Chordata; Mammalia; Carnivora; Felidae
Rfam family: tRNA
About the family: Transfer RNA (tRNA) molecules are approximately 80 nucleotides in length. Their secondary structure includes four short double-helical elements and three loops (D, anti-codon, and T loops). Further hydrogen bonds mediate the characteristic L-shaped molecular structure. tRNAs have two regions of fundamental functional importance: the anti-codon, which is responsible for specific mRNA codon recognition, and the 3' end, to which the tRNAs corresponding amino acid is attached (by aminoacyl-tRNA synthetases). tRNAs cope with the degeneracy of the genetic code in two manners: having more than one tRNA (with a specific anti-codon) for a particular amino acid; and 'wobble' base-pairing, i.e. permitting non-standard base-pairing at the 3rd anti-codon position.
Source: Rfam by way of RNAcentral
GCCUGGGUGGCUCAGUCGGUUGAGUGUCUGACUUUGGCUCAGGUCAUGAUCUCAUGGCUCAUGGGUUCGGGCCCCAUAUUGGGCU